CAGGGAAUAUUUCUGAAGUGGUUUGGUUCUGAUUGGUUGAAAAUCCUAGGACUAGUUCGCAAAAGUAGGUUUCGGAUAUAGCUCGAUUUUGCGAGAAAACGGUGCGUCGUAGACCCCAAAAAGGCGCCGUGCACUUUUGUUCGGGCUAACCCAAGGAUUGCUAUGAUGCCAUGUUUUUGAGUUUAUGGCUAACGGUUUACGAUUCACGGCCAAAAACGUCCAAAAUUUUUGUUUUUUGCGCUAUAGCGCCCCCGUUUGGCCGAUUGGGCUGAGACUUUGAUAAGUUCUCCCCAAAAUGAGCUCUACGAUCUGUCCAAAUUUCAGCUCUCUAGGCCUUACGGUUUGGGCUGCACGUUCAGUUCUAGGGCGGAAGAAUAAUAAUAAUAAUAAUAAUAAUAAUAAUAAUAAAAAUCCUAACAAUUACAAUAGGGUUUCAGCACUGCGUGCUUGAACCCCUAAUUAAAGCUGCAAGCAGCAUUUACCGGGGUUCAAGCACAUUAAGGCCUCUGAGGUGGUCAGAGCCAACCUGGAUGCAUGGAUGACAGUUAAACACAUCCAAAAUGGAGAACAGGCUAACAGACAGACACACACACUGAAAGUAAAUGAUUAUACUAAUAUAUGUAUACUCUAUAAGCAUAUGCACACACACACACACAGAAAGACACACAUAUACAUGCACAAACAUUUUGUUGCAGAUAUAGGUAUUUGAAAUAAGUGAUAGGUGACAAUAAACUUAUUGCAAGUCUUCUCUUUUUAAGAGUUUAGAUGUCAUUUUCAGGUUAAACUGUAAUCACAAUGUGACAAAAUAGUAAAAACUGAUAUAUCUGUAAGAACAAAAUGGAAAACAUUGACUCAAUGAGAUUUAAAAUGUUAUAACAGUUACAUUUUUAAUGUUUUGGGAUGAAUUCAUGAAUCCUUUCAACAGUACUGUUCAACUUAACUGAAUGAGCCCAUUAGUGGUCUUCCACUGCCAUCUAGAGGUUAUAAAUUGCAUUUACUCAAGCAACACUGUUUUUAAACAUAACUGUUAUAGUGUUUUUUUUUUUUUUUUUUU
Molecule: long non-coding RNA, 1054 nt
Organism: Carassius gibelio (silver crucian carp)
Lineage: Eukaryota; Metazoa; Chordata; Actinopteri; Cypriniformes; Cyprinidae
Exons: 2
Source: RefSeq, a predicted model, not a curated record